RNAcentral lists this ribosomal RNA (119 nucleotides) under Anolis carolinensis (green anole). The record is from RNAcentral. Lineage: Eukaryota; Metazoa; Chordata; Lepidosauria; Squamata; Anolidae.
GUAAACGGGCAUAAAUACCCCAAAGCACCAGAUCCCAUCUGAUCUUGGAAGCUAAGCAAGGUCAGCCUUGGGAAGUAUUUGGAUGGAUGGCCACCAAAGAAAACCAGGUACUACAGGCU